Molecule: ribosomal RNA, 253 nt
Filed under: uncultured bacterium
Lineage: Bacteria
Description: partial 16S ribosomal RNA
Rfam family: Bacterial small subunit ribosomal RNA
Source: RNAcentral
UACGUAGGGGGCUAGCGUUGUCCGGAAUCAUUGGGCGUAAAGAGCGUGUAGGCGGCCCGGUAAGUCCGCUGUGAAAGUCGGGGGCUCAACCCUCGAAUGCCGGUGGAUACUGUCGGGCUAGAGUGCGGAAGAGGCGAGUGGAAUUCCUGGUGUAGCGGUGAAAUGCGCAGAUAUCAGGAGGAACACCGAUUGCGAAGGCAGCUCGCUGGGACGUAACUGACGCUGAGGAGCGAAAGCGUGGGGAGCAAACAGG